GAAGGUUUGGCCAAAUAGUUAAGCUGUCCGCUUCGUAAGCGGAAGAUCGUGGGUUCGAUUCCCAUCUGCUCCA
Molecule: transfer RNA, 73 nt
Organism: Culex pipiens (northern house mosquito)
Lineage: Eukaryota; Metazoa; Arthropoda; Insecta; Diptera; Culicidae
Rfam family: tRNA
About the family: Transfer RNA (tRNA) molecules are approximately 80 nucleotides in length. Their secondary structure includes four short double-helical elements and three loops (D, anti-codon, and T loops). Further hydrogen bonds mediate the characteristic L-shaped molecular structure. tRNAs have two regions of fundamental functional importance: the anti-codon, which is responsible for specific mRNA codon recognition, and the 3' end, to which the tRNAs corresponding amino acid is attached (by aminoacyl-tRNA synthetases). tRNAs cope with the degeneracy of the genetic code in two manners: having more than one tRNA (with a specific anti-codon) for a particular amino acid; and 'wobble' base-pairing, i.e. permitting non-standard base-pairing at the 3rd anti-codon position.
Source: Rfam